GAAGCUCUGUGGGGUAGAAGGGACCUCAGUCUAAGAAGGUGACUGGCUGCACUCCAAAUAAGAGGAAUGUCCACAGAAGCCAUUUUGAAAUCUACCCAGUAGGGCUCUGGUAUUAACUGUUGUCAAAAUCUGUAAGGUGCAGUUUCCUCCCUUACUCACACAGCAGGACAAUCUGAGGAAGGCUGAGGCCAAGUAUGUGGUUUAUUUUGAGAAGAGGGGGAUCAGUAGUAUCUACAGGAGCGAAGAACACUAAGCAAUACUACUGUUAGGAGAUAGGAGAAGGGGAGGUGGAGGAGAAGGUUGAGGCUAGAAAUGGACACAUCUGUGCCAGAGGAUUUAUAUUUAUAAUCUCAUUUAAUCUCAGAAAUCCUGCAAAGUAAGAAUUAGUGGCUUCGUUUUACAGAUGAAUAAAAUUGAGCUCAAAACAGUGAGGUAUUAGCCCAAGUUCAACUAAUAUGUGCUAGAGUUAGAGCUUGGGCUCAGGUCUUCCUGAGAAGCUUCCAAACCCAGAAGCUUCUCACCACCAUUCUGCCUCUACCACCUAAGGUGUAGGAGGAGCCUGGAACUUUGAAAGGGCUGUUGGUGCUAAUGUUACAAAAGGUAUAAACCUUAAGGGAAAGGUCAGGAUGAAACUGAAGACCCUAUAAACUAGAGUGGACUCACAGGGGAAUAAUGGAAGGAACUCUGCAUCCCCAUAGAUGUUUGUCUUGUUUACAGGAGCACAUUUUAAGAGAAGAAAAACUGAUAUUCCUUGAAGGAAGCCCUAAAUCAGGGGAAGCUCUAGGGAGACUUCUGCAAGGCCCCAGUGUGACCAGGAACUCAGGGCCUGGAACCCAGUGCUCAGUUACUUCAAACCCAACCCGAAGAGUCAUCCAUGUCUCCUCUUCCUUCCUCAAGGUGAAUAAAAGCACAAGUGGAAAGAAGCAGCUGACACAUAGAUGAUGGCCAGGAUCCCACUCAGAAGUCCAUCCACGCCUAGGAGCAGAGCGGAGGCCAAGCCGAAGGUGGUGAAGACGGCAAAGUCAUUCAGCUCAGCUCCUGCCCCAGAGGGCCCAAGAUCCUGACAACCUCAGGAGAUGGUGCUAGAAUUCUCCCCUAUUUUAUGAAUGAGGAAACUACGGUUAAAAG
Molecule: long non-coding RNA, 1128 nt
Organism: Nomascus leucogenys (northern white-cheeked gibbon)
Lineage: Eukaryota; Metazoa; Chordata; Mammalia; Primates; Hylobatidae
Exons: 3
Source: RefSeq, a predicted model, not a curated record